RNAcentral lists this microRNA precursor (170 nucleotides) under Dichanthelium oligosanthes. RNAcentral describes it as "MIR2118 microRNA precursor family". It matches the Rfam family "MIR2118 microRNA precursor family". The record is from Rfam by way of RNAcentral. Lineage: Eukaryota; Viridiplantae; Streptophyta; Magnoliopsida; Poales; Poaceae.
GCCAGGAAGAGGAAGAAUGAGAUGGCCUGAGAGCGGUGGGAAUGGGAACAUGGAGGAAAGCCUAAAUUGUUUGGAUUCUCCUCCAACAAUGAAGGUUGAACUUGGUUUCGGCUUUCCCAAUGCCUCCCAUUCCUAUUACUCUCGAGCACUCCUUCCUCUUCUUUUUGCUU